UUGACGGGGCCGCACAAGCGGUGGAGCAUGUGGUUAAUUCGACGCAACGCGAAGAACCUUACCAGGGCUUGACAUCCCCUGACCGCGUAUGAAAGUACGUUUUCACCCUCGGGUGACAGGGAGACAGGUGGUGCAUGGUUGUCGUCAGCUCGUGUCGUGAGAUGUUGGGUUAAGUCCCGCAACGAGCGCAACCCCUACGUUUAGUUGCUAACGCGUGAAGGCGAGCACUCUAGACGAACUGCCGUUGACAAAACGGAGGAAGGUGGGGAUGACGUCAAAUCAUCAUGCCCCUUAUGUUCUGGGCUACACACGUGCUACAAUGGCCGGUACAGAGUGACGCGAAGCCGCGAGGUGGAGCAAAUCGCAGAAAAUCGCUCUCAGUUCGGAUUGGAGUCUGAAACCCGACUCCAUGAAGGUGGAAUCGCUAGUAAUCGCGCAUCAGCAUGGCGCGGUGAAUACGUUCCCGGGCCUU
This 472-nucleotide ribosomal RNA is filed under the name uncultured Pelotomaculum sp. RNAcentral describes it as "bacterial SSU rRNA". It matches the Rfam family "Bacterial small subunit ribosomal RNA", at positions 910 to 1382 of the family's 1533-position model. Lineage: Bacteria; Bacillati; Bacillota; Clostridia; Eubacteriales; Desulfotomaculaceae. The record is from RNAcentral.